UUCUCGUCCGACCAAUUUACGUUGGCAAGAGCGACAUCAUCCGGAUGGGACGGAACGAUAUCUCUAAUAACGUGCACGACGAUCGUAGUCCAAGCGAUGUUUCGCAUCUACUCUAUUCUACUCUACUCUACUCUACUCUACUAUCAUCUAACCUACGUGCGAUUACCAUUGUGUGAACGAUCCAACGCGUAUACUACGUGGGACUCCGACUAAACCAGAGGAGAUCGGAGUAUCCGGAGAAGAUCGAGAAACGGAGUGCGAAAGUAAAAGAGAUAGUAGGAAUUUGGUUUAAAGAUUGUAUAAGAUAACAAGGGAUGGAAAUAAGUAACGUAUGCCGAAAUAAAAGUUCACGUUCUGCUCCUUUUCAUCAAGCCAAACUGACAAAAUAGAAAAAGGUCAGCCAAACGAUACCGAGAUGGCCGUCUGUUUCACUCCGAAAAAUGUACUUUUCACCGUAGGACGAUAACUUGGAACGUUUAGGUGAACGAAGACGAGAGGAGAGACGAAUGAACUCCCGUAGCUGUUCAACUCUUCAACUCUUGAAAGGAACGAAGAAACGAAAGGAGAACGUAGGAUUCUAUUCCAAAGAACGGUACGUUCGUUGAAACCUACACACAAGUUUUACGAGUAUCAGGGAUCUUCUAUGAUCAGGACUCUAAUCCAACCAAGCUCGAUCGAUCGAAAAGCGAUCAAACUCGUGAAGGGACGUCUGCGAACGUAAUUGUGAAGAACGAGAAGGAAAUACGAAAAAAGAAAACGAUAUAACGGUAGACGUUCGAACGUAUCGUAUCUACUAGCUAUACAUGAAAAACGAAAAGAUCGUAAUGGUGCGAGCAGGAGGAGGAGUAGUAGUAAUAGUAGUAGUAGGAACGACACGACAGCAAGGUAUCAAAGUGAAGUGCCCCGUGUGAAUUCUGUCGUUGUGUGCCCGUAAAUUCUUUUCACCUUCAUCCAUCGAAAAAGAAACGUAGUAGGAAAGAGAACUCUUCUUUUUCUAUCUCUCACUCUUUCUCACUCUCCCUCUCUCUCUCUCUCUUUAAACGCGUACGUUUCGAUCCUACGUGAUGGUGGUACGGUACGUAUGUACAUGCACGCGCGUGUAAAAGGGUAUCUACUUAGGUUACGACGAGAGAAAACUCAGCACGGUAAUACAGAAACGAAAAAAGAACGGGGAAUGAACUCUUAAAUAUUUCAUGACGGGCGAAAGAUGCGAGUUACAUCAUAGACCGAAGGAAGAUAGUCGCUGGUGAUGGUUGUACUACUCUCUCACGAAGGAGAAAAGCCGAUGUGCCAGUGAACGGGGGCGGUUGUGUUGGCUCGGCAGGGUGGUAAGUGCUCGCUUGGAUAUGUUGGUCGUGGGUGAUACGAGCGUGGUGCGGCAUAUUAUGCCGUUAAUACAGUGCAUAUCGGGACGUGAGCAGCUGGCAAGGGAAUCACAACCAGUCCUUCCUUCCUUCUUCCCUCCCUCCCACUCUAUCCCUCCCUCUAGUUUGCUCGUUUGCUAGCUCACUCACCCUCUUCUCUUCAUAUCACUCCCCUACCCUCCCCUUACCCUUCCCAACCCCUUUCUCUAUUCCGCCAAAGCCGCUGGUAUUCAAGCGCACACCCUACUCUCUAUUUCUAGCUUCCUCGUCCAUCCUCUUCUCCUUCCACUCUUCCUCAAACUCAUCCCUCCCCUCCCCACUCCUUUCUCUACAGUAUUCAUCUCAUUCCCCCUUUUCGACGAGUCACGUACAUACUUACACAAACCCUACUAGCUCCCUCGUCCUUAUUAAUAUAUGCUACUAUAUAUAUAUAUACAUAUAUACUUCUACCGGUACAAGUACCACUAUUUUAGGAUUACCAGGACCAAAAGUUACUCGGGCGAGAACAGAGAGAGAGAGAGAGAGAGACCCCCUUCUAUCUAGCGCUCCUUCGUUUGCUUUCCUAUCCACUGACCGCACUUAUGUCCCAACGGAUCUCAAACUUUCCGAAUACCAUCGAACUACGCAGCUUGUUCCUACUACGCUUAAGCUAUGUAUAUGAAAAGAUACAUUAACUAGGGUAAUAAAGAAGAACAAGAGAGAGAAAGAGAGAGAUAAAAAAAAAAAAGAAGAAGAAAAAUAUGUUUAGAAAUCGAGUAAUGUUGAAUCGAGCAUUAAAACGAUUAUGGGCUCUUAAUUCUCGAAUAAAACUAAUUAUCGUUAAGAUAAGCGUCAAGAUGAUACUACCGUUAGAUAACUCGUUAGAUUCGCAUAAUAACGCGUGAGCGCGUUCGUGGAAAUAUAUCGCAAAUAAUUAUUCACCGACAGUUCAGCAGAAGCAGCAACAGCCAUUCGUCGUGCGGUACUCCUCGAAUCGGUCCAAGUCACUUCUUAAUGAGGAACGAGGAAUCUCGGUACUCUCGGUAAAGACUUCGAUGGGAUAUCUACGGGGUUAGAGAAACUUUGAAAUAAGCUACGCGAUAUUAUGUUUCUUCGACAUACAACAAGAACAACAACAAGAACAGCACAACAAACCGUCAACGGGAAACCAACUUUUCCCAUUAUCCAUUAAUCUAAUUAGCGAACAAGAUUUCGUGGCAUCGGGUAUUAAGAUUCUAUGGUUCCACGAAGUUAAAUGCGCUCAUCGUAGUGUUAUCCGCUUAAUUCGAAUUCACUUAAACGCGAAUUUAUAUAUUGGAUAUGGUAAAAAAUAUGAUUACAAUUGACCCGCCUAAUUCGUACGAUAUAUCAUUCGAUAAAAGUGAAAUUCUAAUUAUUUCAACGUUCAAUCGUUUUUGUUUUUUUUGAAUGACUUUUUACAACUAUUCGAGUUAUUUUAUACCAUUUUCAUUUGGCGGAUACUUCAAAACAAAACACAAACAAACGAUUUCAAAGUAGAAAAAAAACGAGA
This is a long non-coding RNA of Polistes canadensis, 2874 nucleotides long. RefSeq lists it as uncharacterized. The record is from RefSeq and is a predicted model, not a curated record. The transcript is spliced from 4 exons. NCBI's taxonomy places the organism in Eukaryota, Metazoa, Arthropoda, Insecta, Hymenoptera, Vespidae.